RNAcentral lists this ribosomal RNA (442 nucleotides) under uncultured bacterium. RNAcentral describes it as "partial 16S ribosomal RNA". It matches the Rfam family "Bacterial small subunit ribosomal RNA", at positions 338 to 795 of the family's 1533-position model. The record is from RNAcentral.
CCUACGGGUGGCAGCAGUGAGGAAUAUUGGGCAAUGGACGCGAGCCUGACCCAGCAACGCCGCGUGAAGGAAGAAGGCUUUCGGGUUGUUAACUUCUUUUUACAGGGGAGAGCAGAAGACGGUACCUGUCGAAUAAGCCACGGCUAACUACGGGCCAGCAGCCGCGGUCAUACGUAGGUGGCAAGCGUUGUCCGGAUUUCCUGGGUGUAAAGGGCGUGUAGCCGGGCUGAGAAGUCAGGUGUGAAAGCCGGGGGCUCAACCCCCGAACUGCAUUUGAAACUGUUGGUCUUGAGUAUCGGAGAGGCAGGCGGAAUUCGUAGUGUAGCGGUGAAAUGCGUAGAUAUCAGGAGGAACACCAGUGGCGAAGGCGGUCUGCUGGACGACAACUGACGGUGAGGCGCGAAAGUGUGGGGAGCAAACAGGAUUAGAUACCCGUGUAGUC